This 394-nucleotide ribosomal RNA is filed under the name uncultured bacterium. Its description in RNAcentral is "bacterial SSU rRNA". It matches the Rfam family "Bacterial small subunit ribosomal RNA", at positions 505 to 898 of the family's 1533-position model. The record is from RNAcentral.
GUGUCAGCAGCCGCGGUAAUACGAACUGUGCAAACGUUAUUCGGAAUCACUGGGCUUAAAGGGUGCGUAGGCGGCUUGCUAAGUAGGGUGUGAAAGCCCCCGGCUCAACCGGGGAAUGGCGCCCUAAACUGGCGGGCUGGAGUGAGAUAGGGGUGUGCGGAACUUCCAGUGGAGCGGUGAAAUGUGUUGAUAUUGGAAGGAACGCCUGUGGCGAAAGCGGCACACUGGGUCUCAACUGACGCUGAGGCACGAAAGCCAGGGGAGCAAACGGGAUUAGAUACCCCGGUAGUCCUGGCCGUAAACGAUGAAUACUAGCGGGGAGGAGGCUCGUCCUCUUCCCCACGGAGCAAAAGUGUUAAGUAUUCCGCCUGGGGAGUAUGGUCGCAAGGCUGAA